This is a long non-coding RNA of Entelurus aequoreus (snake pipefish), 540 nucleotides long. RefSeq lists it as uncharacterized. The transcript is spliced from 4 exons. The record is from RefSeq and is a predicted model, not a curated record. NCBI's taxonomy places the organism in Eukaryota, Metazoa, Chordata, Actinopteri, Syngnathiformes, Syngnathidae.
UUGCCUGGAGGUGUUGUUUUAGUGCGGUUUUGAAGGAGGAGAUGCCCUUUCUUUUACACCUGUUGAGAGUGCAUUCCAUAUCUGAUACUACUUCGAGAAAUAGUUAAAGACCUUUUGUUUACAGUGUUUGCAUCCAUCUUGUGAAUAGUUGCAGCAAAUGUUGUCGUCCAUGGUUAAUUUGGGAACGUGCGUAAGAUUUGAAACUAACGCCACCCUAAUGACGUUACGACAAAUGGUGCUAGAGUCUUGCCUGAUGCUACCAUAGCGGGCAUCACCCCAUCAACAACCGGACAGCUGUCAAGUCUACAACACAGCAAACGUCAGCUUCGAAGCGAGAAGUGACGGUCUGCUCUCUGCCAGGAUGAGUGGCGACGGCGAUGGUUUCAACCCUGCUGCAGUGGCUCAGCCAGUAGAAGAUGUGCAAGGAGAUGGGCGGUGGAUGUCACAGCACACUCGAUUUGUGCAGGAGUGCAAGGAUGGAGAACCUGAUGUGCUUUUUGUGGGGGACUCUCUGGUACAAUUAAUGCAGCAAUAUGAGGU